This 727-nucleotide non-coding RNA is filed under the name Pan troglodytes (chimpanzee). The record is from RNAcentral. Lineage: Eukaryota; Metazoa; Chordata; Mammalia; Primates; Hominidae.
GUCCUGUGAUGACCUGUGGCGGAAGGUAAACCGAAGGUGACUGCGGUUAACGUCCUCGAUGGGAAUGGCCACCUUCAAGAAUUGAAAAAGAAGUUUAAGCACUGUUAUCAAUAUCAUCCAGCGUAACAGCUUUAUUCAACUGGAGCUAUCAGAUAUGAAAUUCCAGAUUAUGGGAGGGAGAGUUUGAAGAAGGAAGAACCACCAAUAGAAAGCGGUCCCCAAAGAGGUAUCGGGGAUGGCACCCAGACAGGAGCACAUGUACCACUGCCCAGAAUGUGCGUUUCACUAGACAAGUGACCACAAAACAACAAGAAAGUCCAAGAAUAACCCCAGAUGGCCCGGGUCACUUUCCCUGUGUCUGCUACUGCUCCACCGCCACACUGGACUUAAGAGAGGAAGAUGCCUUGUUUAUUUUCUCUGCACAAGACCCUUCCCCAGAAGGGUCUCUCUGUAGCCCAGCUCUACGUUCAGGCGGAGCACAGAGGACUUUUAGGAUGGUGAAGCUACCCAGUGAGAGACUACAAUGGUGAAUAUACGGUAUUAUUCAUUUGUCGAAACCCACAGAAGGCACAACAUCAAGAAUGAACACUAAUGUAAACUACAGACUUCACAGGGCGACGAUGUGUCAAUGUGGUUCACCAACUGUAAUCAAUGUACCAAUCUAUGGGGGAUACUGAUAAUGGGGAGGCAGGGGGAAGGAAGGAGAAAUAUAUAGGAACUGUCUGUA